ACAGAUGGCUGUGUACUGGUGGCUCUGCGGGCCGCCCUGCGCAGUCAGAAGUAGUACGAAGCAGUACGUUCCUUCGUCUCUCUUGGAGGAAGUUAAAAAGUGUGUCGAUUGGCCAUUGCCAUGUGCUUCAGGGAUGUAUGGUCAGUGCUUGGUGAGGCAUGGCUGCUCAGGGCUCUCCUGGAAACAGCUGGGCUGAAGAGAACGUUGCUCUGAAAAAUGUCACCAGACACAAAACUCGCAGGCCAUGUGUAGAGAAGAGGAAAAAAUGAAAUACCUAUUCUUAAUAUUUUUCAUGAACUUAUUGCCACAAUAUGCUGGCAAGUCUUUGAGCAGAGAUGGCAAUUACCCAAAAACAUUUGAAGACAUUAGAAAUGAGAUAGCUGGCUAUUAUGAUAUUGCCAAAGCUAUAAUUGACCUUGCUGUUUAUGGAAAAGCUCAGAACAGAUCUUAUGAAAGAUUGGCUGUUUUUGUUGAUACCAUAGGACCUAGACUAAGUGGUUCAAAAAAUCUAGAGGCAGCCAUCAAGUAUAUGUACAGUGCCCUGCAGAAAGACGGGCUGGAGAAUGUGCACCUGGAGCCUGUGAAAGUACCUCACUGGGAAAGAGGAGAAGAGUUUGCCAUGAUGCUGGAACCAAGGAAUCACAGCAUUGCUAUUUUGGGACUUGGGAGCAGUGUUGCAACUCCUCCGGAAGGAAUUACAGCGGAAGUCCUAGUGGUAGCCUCUUUUGAUGAACUGCACAGAAGAGCUCAAGAGGCCAAGGGGAAGAUUGUUGUCUACAACCAACCUUUCAUCAGUUAUGGUGAAACUGUGCGGUACAGAUCACUGGGAGCAGUGGAAGCUGCUAAGGUUGGAGCAGUGGCAUCCCUCAUUAGAUCCAUUGCUUCUUUUUCUAUUGAUAGUCCACAUACUGGCUGGCAGAACUACCAGUCUGGUGUACCUCAGAUUCCCACUGCUUGCAUCUCUGUGGAAGAUGCUGAAAUGAUGUCACGGAUGUCUUUCCGAGGCACUAAGAUCGUUGUGUACCUGAAGAUGGGAGCCAGGACCUACCCAGACUCUGCUUCUUUUAACACGGUGGCAGAAAUAGUUGGAAGCAAGUACCCAGAGCAGAUUGUGUUGGUCAGUGGACAUCUGGACAGCUGGGAUGUUGGGCAGGGAGCUAUGGAUGACGGCGGCGGAGCAUUUAUAUCAUGGGAAGCAUUAUCACUCAUUAAGGAUCUGGGACUUCGUCCGAAAAGAACUGUGCGCUUGGUGCUAUGGACAGGAGAAGAACAAGGAGGAAUAGGUGCUGAGCAAUACUACCAGUUGCAUAAGGAAAACAUCUCUAACUUUGACAUCGUCAUGGAGUCUGAUGAGGGCACCUUCAAGCCAUCUGGGCUGGCUUUUACUGGUAAUGCCAAAGCUCGUGACAUCGUGAAAGAGAUCAUGGCUCUGCUACUGCCUAUCAACGUUACAGAAGUUUAUGACACUGCAGAUGGAACAGACAUCAAUUUCUGGAUGAGGGACGGAGUGCCUGCUUCUUCUUACAGAACAACUGCUCCAGGCACCUUGGCAUCUUGAUGGCUUCCAUUGCACUCUCUCCAGCAUGGAGCUCCAUAUGGAUCAAUAGAUGAUGUUCCUGGAGAUGAGGCCCCUGGUACAGCAGCACAGAAGCUUCAUGGUGGUGAAUCAAUCUGUGAAGAAACACUUGCACUUGAUGGCAAAGCUUGGAAGAUGAGUGGUCUCAAAGGACAGUGAAGCACUUGUGGAAGGGAAAAGGAGAAAAAUGGAUUUAUGUUUGAAGGACUGGCUGAGCAGUGUGUAGCAGGCCUGCAACACCUGGCAAUAAUAUGUUUCCUAGAGGUGGGAUCUGAUCACAGGACACCUGCCUGCUGUGCAAAGGGGACCCCUGUGAUCAAUGAUUUUGCCAGCUCAGAGGACACCAGCAUCACCCCAAGCCCCUCAGCGCAGUCUGAGUUUUCAACAGGCAUCUGGUCACAGGAGGGCACACGCUGGUUGUAUGUUUUUAGAAUAAUUGCCUUAAUGGAGUAAGUUGGACAAGCUGUGCUGCUUGGCUGUGUAACCUGAGGACAAAAUCAGUUUCACCAGCAGCUUGCUCAAUGCUCACUAAUAGGUCACGUAUAAGGAAAUUAUCACAGGAGUAGAGAGCAGAAGAACAAAAAGGCAAAACCCCCACAACAAAGAACUCCAAAAGCCCAGACUGAGAAGUCAGAGGCAUUGGCUGAGUGUUUGUGAGCAUUUCCCACCGAUGGCAGAUGAGUGAGGCGGUGCCUCGCUGCCUCAAGGAGAUCCCUACUGAGUUUGCUUUAGGCCCCUAAGCAAACACACAGUCCAACCCAGGAGGACUGUUGGCCUCAACAUUUACCCAGACAUGAGAUUUUCUUCUGUGGCUCUAAGGGAGUCACAAAUGGCCCUAAGUGGCAGCCUUUAGACAGCUGAAAUGCAUCACUCUGCUGAAGAGGGAUUCCUGCCAUCCUGUAAUCAAUUAUCUAUGUAGUGUCUUACUGAAACUGAUUAAUUAUUUUCAGGUUUUGAUUUUCAGUAUUUUUGAUGCAUUUGAAUAAUGAGUACAGUAUUUGGCAGCUGCCUUUAACAUUCCCUAUUUUCAUGCCAUAACAUUUACUACCUCCAGCUAAAAGCAGUUUCUCACUGAAUUCCUUAUUGGCCAGCAGUGUUCCUCAUGUGAUUUGCAUCACUGUAAAUCUGAACAGACUGAAAAAGGCCAAUUAAAGAGGGUUGUUUGGCAAACAUUCCCUUUUUCUUUAUGGGUGUUCUUGCUCUGCAAUCUGGAACAGAAGAAAGCAGAAAAGAGCAUAAAACGUAACAGUGGAGCAUGGAGCUCAUCACUGGUUUUUCUGUUUGUGAAUUGGUUCCACCUGGAAAUCAGAGUUAUGUAUCUCAUGUAUACCUGUGUAACACCUCCCAUCUGAGGAUUUUAAAGUACUUAACUAAACCAUUCAACAUUCUUGUGAAGCUGUUGCUAUCCACUUUGUAGAUAGCUAGCAUGGAGAUGGGUAAAUAAUUUAUUGGCAGAUCUAUGAGACAUGGCUACUCACCUGUUUUUUCUUGACUGCUAGCUUAUAUAGCUUGCAAAAAUGAAUUUCCAUUUGUUACUAUAUGUAUCUGCUGUUCCUCAGGGAGUUUACACCAUCUAAAUAAUAACAACAAAUCUCUCCAGUGGGAAAAACAAAACAAAAAAAAAGCACAAAAAUAAUUGGUAAUUAGUGCUUUAGAAUUUGUAUGUAAGUGAAUUUUUCUGAUUUCUUAAUAACUGUCAAACUUCUGGAAGUGACAAAUUUGGCUACUGGCCAGAUUUUGCUUGAGAAGAGUUAAUAAUACAGUAUCUGUGUUGAAUCCACUAAGGUCAGCCAGCCAAUCUACACUGAAAUCUUACUGUCCAAAGCAGUAUGCAGAAUUCUCUCCCUUUCACCUAAAUUCUGUGGGAUAACUGUUAUAUUUAAAGUUUUUUUUUUUCCUGUUCAUAUAUCAGAAAAAGGGCUGUGAGAUCCCGCUGGCUUUAUUUAAGUAAUCUGACAUGACUUCUGUCUGCAGAGCCCCUCAGAAUUUCCCUCUUCAAAGUCAUUUGCACAGGUUGAACUCAAUCUGGGACAUGUGCUGGUGAAGGGGCAAUAUUCAGCAUCUUCCCACAGCCUGGCGACCUCUGAAAGCCAUAAAUAUCUUCUGGCAACUAACGUCAAUGUAGAGCACUCUCGUAGUUGGAGAAGAAGAUGUGAAAAUUGUUUACAGUUAUAUCUGUGUCCCAGGGUGUUUCAUGUCUAGAAGCUUGUGCUGGGUGCUCUACUGUACACUUCUCUUGUACUCGAGGCCAAGAAUACAGAUUUUCACGUUUGUUUCUAAUUACAUACGAUGAAACUCCUUUCUUUGGGUCUUUUCAUUAGUCUCGUAAAAUGUUCACAGCUCACUGACUUCAGUAAUAGCCAAAGGCUUUCAAGAGUCAGCAUGGCCAGAUCAGGAAUUCUUCAAUAUUUUCUCUACUGACUGGCUUUGUAACAAAUCCUUCUGCACGAGUUUUUAUACAGUAACUGCUUGGCGUCAAAGUUACAUCAUUAUCUUAUUUUUAUAUCAAUUUAGAGAAACAAAUAUUUCAACAUUUUGCAGAGUUAAACAUUACAAAGUAAACAUAUUUAUAUUUGUUCCUUUCGCAGAGAAAAAAAAGACACUACCUUCUAAGUUAGUAACUACUAUGAUUAGUGGAACGUCUACUACAAAUUCCAGCCUAUUCAUUUUUGCUGUGAUUCUCAUUAAAAUGUUCAAAAAUUAUAAUGGACUUGCCUCAGUGACUUAACUUGUAAUGCUUCUGUAAGGCAGAAUUCCAUUAGUUAAAGGAUUUAUCAUAGCUCAAUUACUUCAUGAUUGCCAAUAUUUAAAAUUAUUCAGAAUAAAAUUUAAAAAGUGAAUAUGAGUUGACAUAAAUUGAAUGUUACAAUGAUUGGAACAUAAUUCAGAACCUGUAACAAACCCAUAAACUUGGGUAGGACUGCAUCGAUUCAAGUCAAUGGUAAAUAAGUUUCUUGAGCAAGAAGAGCCUCUUAAAUGAAAUCACAAAACCAUGUAAGCGUAUGUUGCAGCCUUUGGUCUUUCUGCAUAUCAUGUCUUAUGAAGGGAUCUUCAUAUCAGAUGGAAAAAAAUCCCUUUUGUUUUCCUUCUCUCUAAAAGAGUAGUGAAACAAGCAGUCUAGAUUAGUUCCCAUUACAACAGGAGUUACACAGCAAGAGCUGGACUAUAUCCUGGAUGACUAUGAGUGAUCAAAAGCUAUGUACUAUAGGAAAGUACAGUUAUAUUGUAAGAAAUUCUUCUUUCAUUCUCAUCAAAGGCUUCAUGCAUCUCAGUGAAAAAAACUCAUUAUAGCAAGUCUUAUGAACGCAUGUGAAUUUAUCAAAGCCCUCAUCAUCUGAUGCUGAUUUUCCACUGCUUGUAAGUAAAGAUAUGAAUAAUUUAUUUCUUAUUUAUAAUCAAAUAGUCCUGAUUUUUUUUCCGUAGUACUUAAUAUAGUAGGAGUAGUUUCAGUCUGUUUCUGACUGUGGCCCAUAGCUCUUACUCUUUAACUCAUAUCAAAACUUGUUUUCUCUGCUCUGUGAACAUCCAAGGAAAAGAAGCUUUUGUGCUAGCAAAGAGAGCUGCACGCUUUCUAUGCCUCAGCAUUUUGCAAGGUAAAUGAAUCGAGCCCAAGAAAUUACAAGCAGGGAAUCAAUGUGGUGUUGGCAAAUACCACGUUUACUUAUUUUCUGAAUUUUAGGUAGAGUUUUCUUAUGAUGGGAGAGUCGUUUACAGUAAUAUAAAGCAAGUGGAAGCUGAUAAAA
RNA transcript from Tympanuchus pallidicinctus (lesser prairie-chicken), 5319 nucleotides. It is a transcript of the gene named carboxypeptidase Q, with no coding region annotated. The transcript is spliced from 9 exons. The record is from RefSeq and is a predicted model, not a curated record. NCBI's taxonomy places the organism in Eukaryota, Metazoa, Chordata, Aves, Galliformes, Phasianidae.